Molecule: ribosomal RNA, 327 nt
Filed under: uncultured eukaryote
Lineage: Eukaryota
Description: partial 18S ribosomal RNA
Rfam family: Eukaryotic small subunit ribosomal RNA
Source: RNAcentral
CCCUUAGAUGUUCUGGGCCGCACGCGCGCUACACUGACGAAUGCAACGAGCUUAUAACCUUGGCCGAAAGGUCUGGGUAAUCUCCAAAUUUCGUCGUGAUGGGGAUAGAUUAUUGCAAUUAUUAAUCUUCAACGAGGAAUGCCUAGUAAGCGCAAGUCAUCAGCUUGCGUUGAUUACGUCCCUGCCCUUUGUACACACCGCCCGUCGCUCCUACCGAUUGAAUGGUCCGGUGAAACGUUCGGACCGUGGCCUUUGGACGGUUCGCCGUCUGUUGGCUGCGGGAAGUUCGUUAAACCUUAUCAUUUAGAGGAAGGAGAAGUCGUAACA